RNAcentral lists this ribosomal RNA (468 nucleotides) under uncultured bacterium. Its description in RNAcentral is "partial 16S ribosomal RNA". It matches the Rfam family "Bacterial small subunit ribosomal RNA", at positions 28 to 507 of the family's 1533-position model. The record is from RNAcentral.
GACGAACGCUGGCGGCGUGCUUAACACAUGCAAGUCGAACGGAAAGGCCCUGCUUUUGUGGGGUGCUCGAUUGGCGAACGGGUGAGUAACACGUGUGUAACCUGCCCUUGACUUUGGGAUAACUUCAGGAAACUGGGGCUAAUACCGGAUAUGAGCUCCUGCUGCAUGGUGGGGGUUGGAAAGUUUCGGCGGUUGGGGAUGGACUCGCGGCUUAUCAGCUUGUUGGUGGGGUAGUUGCUUACCAAGGCUUUGACGGGUAGGCGGCCUGGGAGGGUGGACGGGCAAAAUGGGAAUGAGAGACGGGCCAGAAUACAAAGGGAGGCAGCAGUGGGGAAUAUUGCACAAUGGGCGGAAGCCUGAUGCAGAAAAGCCGCGUGCGGGAUGACGGCCUUCGGGUUGUAAACCGCUUUCGCCUGUGACGAAGCGUGAGUGACGGUAAUGGGUAAAGAAGCACCGGCUAACUACGUG